AAAGCCUGAUGGAGCAAUGUCGCGUGGAGGUAGAAGGCCCACGGGUCGUGAACCUCUUUUUCCUGAGAAGAAGCAAUGAUGGUAUCUGGGGAAUAAGCAUCGGCUAACUCUGUUCCAACAGCCACGGUAAUACAGAGGAUGCAAGCGUUAUCCGGAAUGAUUGGGCGUAAAGCGUCUGUAGAUGGCUUUUUAAGUCUGCCAUCAAAUCCCAGGGAUCAACCCUGGAUAGGCGGUGAAAACUACCAAGCUGGAGUACGGUAGGGGCAGAGGGAAUUUCCGGUGGAGCGGUGAAAUGCGUAGAGAUCGGAAAGAACACCAACGGCGAAAACACUCUGCUGGGCUGACACUGACACUGAGAGAUGAAAGCUAGGGGAGCGAAUGGCAUUAGAUACCCUAGUAGUCCUAUCCGUAAAUGAUCGAUACUAGGCGUUGUGCGUAUCGACCCGUGCAGUGCUAUAGCUAACGCGUUAAGUAUCCCACCU
Molecule: ribosomal RNA, 482 nt
Filed under: Solanum tuberosum (potato)
Lineage: Eukaryota; Viridiplantae; Streptophyta; Magnoliopsida; Solanales; Solanaceae
Description: rRNA SSU_rRNA_eukarya
Rfam family: Bacterial small subunit ribosomal RNA
Source: RNAcentral